GAUGAACGCUGGCGGCGUGCCUAAUACAUGCAAGUCGAGCGAACGGACGAGAAGCUUGCUUCUCUGAUGUUAGCCGCGGACGGGUGAGUAACACGUGGAUAACCUACCUAUCAGACUGGGAUAACUUCGGGAAACCGUAGCUAAUACCGGAGAAUAUUUUGAACCGCAUGGUUCAAAAGUGAAAGACGGUGUUGCUGUCACUAAUAGAUGGAUCCGGGCUGCAUUAGAUAGUUGGUAAGGUAACGGCUUACCAAGGCAACGAUGCAUAGCCGACCUGAGGGGGGGAUCGGCCACACUGGAGGUGAGACGCCGUCCAGACUCCUACGGGAGGCAGCAGUAGGGAAUCGGCCGCAAUGGGCGAAAGCCUGACGGAGCAACGCCGCGUGAGUGAUGAAGGUCUUCGGAUCGGAAAACUCUGUUACUAGUGAAGAACAUAUGUGUAAGUAACUGUGCACAUCUUGACGGUACCUAAUCAGAAAGCCACGGCUAACUACGUG
This 497-nucleotide ribosomal RNA is filed under the name uncultured bacterium. RNAcentral's name for it is "partial 16S ribosomal RNA". It matches the Rfam family "Bacterial small subunit ribosomal RNA", at positions 28 to 507 of the family's 1533-position model. The record is from RNAcentral.